GAAUUGAACUCAGGACCUCUGGAAAAGCAAUCAGUGCUCUUAACCACUGAGCCAUCUCUCUAGCCCCUGCAAACAGAUUUUUAGUUGAACUAUGGUAUGUCUAUCUUAAUACUUUUUUGCAUUUAUUUUUAUAGAAAUUAUUCCUUAUUAACAUUUCUCCCAUUUUCCAGUGUCAUUAAAUAACAAAUGAUAAAAUUUGCAGUCUUAAUCAUUUUAAAUGUACAGUUGAGUGGUAGUCAGUACCAUCACACCAUUUAUCUUCAGAGUUGUGUUCAUUUUACAAAGCUAAAACUCUAUCCCUUUGGUGACUUCCCACUUGCCCUCCCUUCAGCCUCUAAAGGUCACUCCUCUUCCUCACUGCUGUGACUGUUGUAUAAAUUGAAUCAUAAGCUGUCUCUUCACAUAGCACAGUAGCUCCUUGGAACAUGUCUUAGAAUUCCUUCCUUUUUAAGACUGGAUAAACUGAUUACAUUUGUAUAUGCCCUGUUAUCCAUUCAUCAGUCUGUCUCCAGGCUUUUAUUUUCAUUUCUAAUUGUGUAAAUCGAAUUGCGUUUUGGGAGAUGCAAUGGUUUAGUUGCGGCCAUAAAAAUGGGAGCUUUUGCCACACUUAUGCUAUGUGUAGCCACACUGUAUAUUUGUACUUUUUGUGUUUUACUGCUUUCUUUCUGUUUUGGUUUAUUUUAUUUGGAACUUGACAAAAUUACUUUGUUUAUAGUGAUAUUAUAGAUUAUAUAUUAAAAGAAAAUUCUUGG
Molecule: long non-coding RNA, 752 nt
Filed under: Mus musculus (house mouse)
Lineage: Eukaryota; Metazoa; Chordata; Mammalia; Rodentia; Muridae
Description: long non-coding RNA chr7:49795957-49796709
Source: RNAcentral